CUCACCAAAGCAAUAAUGGGUAGCUGGUCUGAGAGGAUGAUCAGCCACACUGGGACUGAGACACUGCCCAGACUCCUACGGGAGGCUGCAGCCGAGAAUCUUUCGCAAUGAGGGAAACCCUGACGAAGCGACGCCGCGUGGAGGAUGAAGGCCCUCGGGUUGUAAACUCCUGUCACUUGGGAUGAAAAGUGGGGCCAUUAAUACCGGUUCUGCCUGACAGUACCUUGAAAGGAAGCUCCGGCUAACUACGUGCCAGCAGCCGCGGUAAUACGUAGGGAGCAAGCGUUGUUCGGAUUUACUGGGCGUAAAGGGUGUGUAGGUUGCUUGGUAAGUCAGUUGUGAAAUCCUUACUGCUCAACAGAAGAAUUGCAAUUGAUACUACCAGGCUAGAGUUCGGUAGAGGAGAGCGGAAUUCUCGGUGUAGCGGUGAAAUGCGUAGAUAUCGAGAAGAACACCAGUGGCGUAGGCGGCUCUCUAGCCCGAUACUGACACUGAAACACGAAAGCGUGGGUAGCGAACGGGAUUAGAUACCCCGGUAGUCCACGCCGUAAACGAUGGGUACUAGGUGCAGGUGGUAUCGAUCCCUUCUGUGCCGAAGCAAACGCGUUAAGUACCCCGCCUGGGGAGUACGGCCGCAAGGCUAAAACUCAAAGGAAUAGACGGGGGCCCGCACAAGCGGUGGAGCAUGUGGUUUAAUACGACGCAACGCGUAGAACCUUACCAGGGCUUGACAUGCUGGUGGUACUGGCUCCGAAAGGAGACAGGACCCUUCGGGGAGCCAACACAGAUGUUGCACGGCUGUCGUCAGCUCGUGUCGUGAGAUGUUGGGUUAAGUCCCGCAACGAGCGCAACCCUUGUCCUUAGUUGCCAGCAGGUAAUGCUGGGGACUCUAAGGAGACUGCCUGUGAUAAGCAGGAGGAAGGUGAGGAUGACGUCAAGUCAUUGUGGCUCUUACGCCCUGGGCUACACACGUGCUACAAUGGUCGAUACAAUGGGUAGCAAUGCCGCGAGGUG
Molecule: ribosomal RNA, 1014 nt
Filed under: uncultured organism
Description: bacterial SSU rRNA
Rfam family: Bacterial small subunit ribosomal RNA
Source: RNAcentral